UAAAUGGGAAUUCUUAUCUGCACUACUGUACUAAUGUAGCUCCGAAUGCAGUUAGGGAUUGAGAUAUAUCUCACAAGUGUGACUGAAUUUGAUCCUUUAAUUUUGCUUGGAUAGGGAGCAUGCCCUUACCUAUCCAUUAAUUAUCUGACAUUUUUAAACUUGCACACCUAAUAUUGAUGGAAACUGUAGCUUUUAUUGCAUUUACACAGGACAUGCCCUAGCAAUCAAGUGCCAAACUUUAGAUGCCAUCAAAUGUAGUAGCCUUUACUAAACAUAAUUUAUUGGCUUCGUGCUAUUUUCACCAAGCCUAAAUCCCGAAAUUUUAAGUUUCUUCCAUAGUCUGUGUUGAAGAAGGAACAGAGUGUUAGAAUGAACACUCAAUAGUUGAUGUUUCUGUGUUGUGGUGUUGGACAGCUACCCCUCUGUAUCCUUACAGUCUCCGUGCAUGUGCCAGGUGUUGUACAUGAAGCCGCAAACCUUUUUUGCCUAACGAUAUGUGUGUGACUUUCUGAAAAGAUAAUCAAUAGUGGUGGCUCCAUUCAAGCAUGAUGGAGAUAUUUAUGUUGAGAAGGGUAACCACAGCUUCGGGAUCUAUGCAAGGUCCAAGCAUGGUAUUACUUCUGGAUGGAUCAAAACAUCUUGCCUGGAUAUCUCAUAGAUCGCUGAAUUAGUUUCAGUGACUGGUGACAGCCAAAAAGAAGAUACACUAGCUAAUUGAUCAGAUGUUGACACCAUGCAGGCUCAGGUUCUACUGUUGUACAAAUAGGCGACAGCAGAAACCUGCAAAUCAAAGCAGUAAAUAUAGACUGCAAGUGGUGCUCCACCGGGUAAACCUCAUGAAAGUGAAGAGUAACUUUGGUACAUGCCAAAUGAUCGGCAUGGCAGCAUGCUCUAUCCUUCUUCUUUGGUAGCCUCGCUAAGUGCCGUCGUUCCUGUGAUCUCCAACUAGUAAACAGUCGCGACUAGAAUUGCAGGAAUAUUAUUUGGAAACCUUCGCUUGAAGUAAUUUGUUGGAUAGUGAUUUUGCAUUGUAUGCUUGAAUUGUCUCUGUGAAUGGUAGGUAAGUUAUUUGUUAGUCAUUCGAUUGAGUGAGAAACAUAUGGAAACUGUAACUUGUUAUUCUGGAGCUUUGGAUUGUACUCCUAUCUUGCAAUUGUGAAUUAAAUUUAAUUCUGCAAGUUCAGUUACGAUCGCACGAAGGUUGUAUUGGUCAUCGUUUCAACAAAGUUUGUUCGAUCUUCC
This is a long non-coding RNA of Lolium rigidum, 1242 nucleotides long. RefSeq lists it as uncharacterized. The transcript has 2 exons. Lineage: Eukaryota; Viridiplantae; Streptophyta; Magnoliopsida; Poales; Poaceae. The record is from RefSeq and is a predicted model, not a curated record.